CGGGGUGCAGCAGGCGCGAAAACUUUACAAUGCCUGCAACGGCGAUAAGGGGACCUCGAGUGCCAGGUUACAAAUCUGGCUGUCGUGAUGCCUAAAAAGCAUUGCAUAGCAAGGGCCGGGCAAGACCGGUGCCAGCCGCCGCGGUAACACCGGCGGCUCGAGUGGUAACCGUUAUUAUUGGGUCUAAAGGGUCUGUAGCCGGCCGGAUAAGUCUCUUGGGAAAUCUGGCAGCUUAACUGUCAGGCUUUCAGGAGAUACUGUCUGGCUCGAGGCCGGGAGAGGUGAGAGGUACUUCAGGGGUAGGGGUGAAAUCUUGUAAUCCUUGAAGGACCACCAGUGGCGAAGGCGUCUCACCAGAGCGGACCUGACGGCAAGGGACGAAAGCUAGGGGCACGAACCGGAUUAGAUACCCGGGUAGUCCUAGCCGUAAACGAUACUCGCUAGGUGUCGGCCACGGUGCGACCGUGGUCGGUGCCGUAGGGAAGCCGUGAAGCGAGCCACCUGGGAAGUACGGCCGCAAGGCUGAAACUUAAAGGAAUUGGCGGGGGAGCACAAGGGCGAUUCGCG
RNAcentral lists this ribosomal RNA (567 nucleotides) under uncultured archaeon. RNAcentral's name for it is "bacterial SSU rRNA". It matches the Rfam family "Archaeal small subunit ribosomal RNA", at positions 326 to 897 of the family's 1478-position model. The record is from RNAcentral.